GAUGAACGCUAGCGGCAGGCUUAAUACAUGCAAGUCGAGGGGUAGCAAGAUUGUAGCAAUACAAUUGUUGACGACCGGCAAACGGGUGCGGAACACGUACACAACCUUCCUACAAGUGGGGAAUAGCCCAGAGAAAUUUGGAUUAAUACCCCGUAACAUAGCGAUGUGGCAUCACAUUGCUAUUAUAGCUUCGGCGCUUGUUGAUGGGUGUGCGGCUGAUUAGAUAGUUGGCGGGGUAACGGCCCAACAAGUCUACGAUCAGUAGCUGAUGUGAGAGCAUGAUCAGCCAACCGGGGACUGAGACACGGGCCCGACUCCUACGGGAGGCAGCAGUAAGGAAUAUUGGACAAUGGACGCAAGUCUGAUCCAGCCAUGCCGCGUGAAGGAUUAAGGUCCUCUGGAUUGUAAACUUCUUUUAUAAGGGACGAAAAAAGGUCUUUCUAGAUCGUCUGACGGUACCUUAUGAAUAAGCACCGGCUAACUCCGUGCCAGCAGCCGCGGUAA
This 504-nucleotide ribosomal RNA is filed under the name uncultured bacterium. Its description in RNAcentral is "partial 16S ribosomal RNA". It matches the Rfam family "Bacterial small subunit ribosomal RNA", at positions 28 to 523 of the family's 1533-position model. The record is from RNAcentral.